GACGAACGCUUGCGGCGUGCUUAACACAUGCAAGUCGAACGCUGAAGCUCAGCUUUUGUUGGGUGGAUGAGUGGCGAACGUGUGAGUAACACGUUAGUAACCUGCCCCCUUCUUUGGGAUAACGCCCGGAAACGGGUGCUAAUACUGGAUAUUCACUGGUCUUCGCAUGGGGGUUGGUGGAAAGGGUUUUUCUGGUGGGGGAUGGGUUCGCGGCCUAUCAGGUUGUUGGUGGGGUGAUGGCCUACCAAGGCGUUGACGAGUAGGCGGCCGGAGAGGGUGACAGAACAAAUGGAGAAGGAGAUACGGCCCAGACAUCUACGGGAGGAAGAAGUGGGGAAUAUUGCAAAAUGGGAGCAAGCAUGAUGCAGCGACGCCGCGUGAGGGAUGGAGGAGUUCGGGUUGUGAAACUCUUUCGCGCAUGGUCAAGCCGAAACAAUGGUUGUGGUGAGGGUAGUGGGUAAAGAAGCGCCGGCUAACUACGUG
This 483-nucleotide ribosomal RNA is filed under the name uncultured bacterium. Its description in RNAcentral is "partial 16S ribosomal RNA". It matches the Rfam family "Bacterial small subunit ribosomal RNA", at positions 28 to 507 of the family's 1533-position model. The record is from RNAcentral.